UGGCAGUGUGGUUAGCUGGUUGUAAGUACCACACAACCACUACCUGCACUGCCUCA
This 56-nucleotide microRNA precursor is filed under the name Limulus polyphemus (Atlantic horseshoe crab). RNAcentral describes it as "Lpo-Mir-34-P16_pre stem-loop". The record is from RNAcentral. Lineage: Eukaryota; Metazoa; Arthropoda; Merostomata; Xiphosura; Limulidae.